GAUCCUGGCUCAGGACGAACGCUGGCGGCACGCUUAACACAUGCAAGUCGAACGGAGAAUAUCGAAGCUUGCUUUGAUAUUCUUAGUGGCGGACGGGUGAGUAACACGUGAGGUAACCUGCCUCUGAGAGUGGGAUAGCUUCUGGAAACGGAUGGUAAUAACCGCAUGAAAUCAUAGUAUCGCAUGGUACAAUGAUCAAAGAUUUUAUCGCUCAGAGAUGGACUCG
RNAcentral lists this ribosomal RNA (226 nucleotides) under uncultured bacterium. RNAcentral's name for it is "partial 16S ribosomal RNA". It matches the Rfam family "Bacterial small subunit ribosomal RNA", at positions 15 to 233 of the family's 1533-position model. The record is from RNAcentral.